AAUCAUCUCAUUGAUCUUCUUAAUUGUCUGUGCCCUUAGGUUCCUCCCACUUUUUUGCACUUUGGAGUCUAGAGCUGACCCUUUCAGAUCUGACCCAGGGAGCUGCCAUCCUGCUGUCCUUUUCUGUCUGGUGGCCCUGAGUGAUGGGAUCUGACACAUUUGCCAUGCCCACAGGGAUCAGGCUAUGGGUGUAGCGUGGAGGACGCAGAAUUUUUCUGCAUGCAAUCAUGCCAGAUGUUCAGACUAAUGAUGCUGAUUUUGCAUCCCCCCUCUCCUAGCUGCCCUCCCAGCCAGGCCAGGCCCUGGCCAUGGUCAUACCCUGUGGGCCUGUGAAACGUGAACUGAAGCACAACAGACAUCUCCUGAAACAAAGAAUAAAACCAAACUCAACAGAAAGGUACCUUAAAUAGCAUGACGUGAAAUACAAUUUACAAGGAUAAUCAAACAAAAGGUUUAAAAUGGGGCUUACCUUAGGCUUUCCCUUAAAU
Long non-coding RNA from Colius striatus (speckled mousebird), 488 nucleotides. RefSeq lists it as uncharacterized. The record is from RefSeq and is a predicted model, not a curated record. Lineage: Eukaryota; Metazoa; Chordata; Aves; Coliiformes; Coliidae. The transcript is spliced from 3 exons.